RNAcentral lists this long non-coding RNA (575 nucleotides) under Mytilus galloprovincialis (Mediterranean mussel). Lineage: Eukaryota; Metazoa; Mollusca; Bivalvia; Mytilida; Mytilidae. The record is from RNAcentral.
CCGGUAUACAUAUAUUUUAGGUAAGUCUUCCAAUUGCCACUAAAUCCUUGGAAAAUGGACUUCCUUGGAAAAUGAACUCUUAGACUGGGCCUAUCUGUUUCGAGCUUGUGGCGUUCGGUGGAUUUAUCUUUCCAACCAGAAGUCUUAUUUUUUCAAAAUAAGCCUACUCGAUUUACACGUCUGGUGUAGUACAGUAUUCAAAUUGACUGAACUUGUUCCAACAACUUUAUCGUCUAACUGACUCACCGUGGGUUAAAACUAGUCUUUAUCUGGCAUCGCUUUGUUGUCUUUCAAGUGAGUAAACUCUUUUACCAUCAUGACAAAAGCUUUCACAACCUCUACUAAAUCGGCACCUUUAUCUUUUAUCGGCCAUAUCGGAAGCAUGACACAUGUAAGUUGCGAUGUAAUCCUUGUCUCCUCCUGCGUUGCUAGAAUGUUUCAGACGACCUAUAAGCUUGUGUUUCUGUUAAAAUUGGCGACACGUUACAUUUCUUAUAUAGUCUUUUUAUUCCUUCUGCCAUUUUAUGGAAAGGUUCCCCCUUACCAUUUACAAGAACGUGUCGGUUGUGUUCUAG